CCCUUAGAUGUUCGGGGCCGCACGCGCGCUACACUGAAUGAAUCAGCGAGUGUAUGUCCUAGGCCGAAAGGUCCGGGUAACCCGUUGAACCUCAUUCGUGAUUGGGAUAGGGACUUGCAAUUGUUUCCCUUGAACGAGGAAUUCCCAGUAAGCGCAAGUCAUCAGCUUGCGUUGAUUACGUCCCUGCCCUUUGUACACACCGCCCGUCGCUCCUACCGAUUGAAUGCUCAGGUGAGCCAUUCGGACUUUCAUCAUGCUGGUUUCCAGUUUUGAUGAAGGAAAGUCUUGCGAACCUUAUCAUUUAGAGGAAGGAGAAGUCGUAACA
RNAcentral lists this ribosomal RNA (325 nucleotides) under uncultured eukaryote. RNAcentral describes it as "partial 18S ribosomal RNA". It matches the Rfam family "Eukaryotic small subunit ribosomal RNA", at positions 1470 to 1796 of the family's 1831-position model. The record is from RNAcentral.